This 434-nucleotide ribosomal RNA is filed under the name uncultured bacterium. Its description in RNAcentral is "partial 16S ribosomal RNA". It matches the Rfam family "Bacterial small subunit ribosomal RNA", at positions 29 to 507 of the family's 1533-position model. The record is from RNAcentral.
AGCGAACGCUGGCGGCAGGCCUAACACAUGCAAGUCGAACGAACCUUUCGGGGUUAGUGGCGGACGGGUGAGUAACACGUGGGAACGUGCCUUUAGGUUCGGAAUAACUCAGGGAAACUUGUGCUAAUACCGAAUGUGCCCUUCGGGGGAAAGAUUUAUCGCCUUUAGAGCGGCCCGCGUCUGAUUAGCUAGUUGGUUGAGGUAAUGGCUCACCAAGGCGACGAUCAGUAGCUGGUCUGAGAGGAUGAUCAGCCACAUUGGGACUGAGACACGGCCCAAACUCCUACGGGAGGCAGCAGUGGGGAAUCUUGCGCAAUGGGCGAAAGCCUGACGCAGCCAUGCCGCGUGAAUGAUGAAGGUCUUAGGAUUGUAAAAUUCUUUCAUCGGGGACGAUAAUGACGGUACCCGGAGAAGAAGCCCCGGCUAACUUCGUG